UGGGGAAUAUUGCACAAUGGACGGAAGUCUGAUGCAGCAACGCCGCGUGCGGGAUGACGGCCUUCGGGUUGUAAACCGCUUUUUCUCAUGACGAAGUUUUUUGACGGUAGUGGGGGAAGAAGCACCGGCUAACUACGUGCCAGCAGCCGCGGUGAUACGUAGGGUGCGAGCGUUGUCCGGAAUUAUUGGGCGUAAAGAGCUUGUAGGCGGUUUGUCGCGUCGAUAGUGCAAACUCAGUGCUUAACGCUGAGCCUGCUGUUGAUACGGGCAGACUAGAGGAAGGUAGGGGAGAAUGGAAUUCCCGGUGGAGCGGUGGAAUGCGCAGAUAUCGGGAGGAACACCGGUGGCGAAGGCGGUUCUCUGGGCAUUUACUGACGCUGAGAAGCGAAAGCGUGGGGAGCGAACAGG
Molecule: ribosomal RNA, 408 nt
Filed under: Fusobacteriota bacterium
Lineage: Bacteria; Fusobacteriati; Fusobacteriota
Description: Fusobacteria bacterium partial 16S ribosomal RNA
Rfam family: Bacterial small subunit ribosomal RNA
Source: RNAcentral